CGGGGCGUGGCCCAGCCAGGUAGGGCACCUGCAUGGGGUGUAGGGGGUCGCCAGUUCAAAUCUGGCCGCCCCGACCA
This 77-nucleotide transfer RNA is filed under the name Chloroflexota bacterium. Its description in RNAcentral is "Chloroflexi bacterium tRNA-Pro". It matches the Rfam family "tRNA". From Rfam's summary of the family: Transfer RNA (tRNA) molecules are approximately 80 nucleotides in length. The record is from RNAcentral. Lineage: Bacteria; Bacillati; Chloroflexota.